CCAGCAUUUUAAUAAUACAGAAACUAAAACUAUGUUAUUUUAUUGCCAAAAUACGAAUAAAACAGUAUAGUACCCUAUAAAUAUGCAUAUAACAGUAGUAUCAGAUAUCAGUAAAAGUGUAUGUAUAUAAAGUGUUUUGAUAAUGUUGAAUAUGUAUGUAGGCUACUGUUUUUACAGAGAUUUUUUUGAGAGGUGACAGUUUCUAUAUUAGCUCUGGCGAUUUUAAAUUAUUAAUAACAAAUAGGCAAUCAAAAACUUUUUAAACUAUAAAGGAAGUGGCAGUCUGGGAAAAUAUGCCCAAUAAUGAAACAUUCUAUUAUGUUUCAGAUAUUUUAAUUAUAAUGCUCAUUUUCAAAUCCCAACCAAUGGUAUCCAUUUUAAUGGGAAGCCAAAUUCGUAAUAACAUCAGGCGAUAGUUUUCUGUACUGUCACGUAUGUGACACAUAUGCAGCAAUCAAAUUUUUAAAGCCAAACCAUUAUUGCCAAAACAUUUUAUUAAAGUAUAAACAUCAUGCUGUAUUGCAAAAUUGUUACAGUGACUAAUAAGUUUUUUGUAAUAAUAAAAACAACUUUUAUCUUGCUUAAUUUAUUGGAAGAUCCAGGAAAGUGAGCAAACCACUCAAAAAUUCUUGCCUAACCAAAUGAAAGGUAUUUUUCAUGACUAGCUUCUGGACCAAGCGACAUCUGUUUAGAUCACUUUGUUCAUCAGCAUCUGCAGCAAAAUCAAAGAGGAAUAUGUGUAAUUUUUGUUCAUAAUGUUGUUUCUUUUGUAUCUACAGCACCAAACUUCAGUCAGGGUAUCCUGACUAUCCUCACACUCAGUUUUGUUUGUUCUUUACUUCUCUAUAUGACAUUUUCAUAACAUUAUUAUUUAUUAACACUAGUUACUGGUUGUCACGCUGUCAAUAAACUGCAUAAAUAAAUCUUGUUAGAUACCCUUGCAGGACAAUG
Molecule: non-coding RNA, 951 nt
Organism: Ciona intestinalis (vase tunicate)
Lineage: Eukaryota; Metazoa; Chordata; Ascidiacea; Phlebobranchia; Cionidae
Source: RefSeq, a predicted model, not a curated record